GUGUCAGCAGCCGCGGUAAGACGUAGGAGGCGAGCGUUGUCCGGAUUCAUUGGGCGUAAAGAGCGCGCAGGCGGCUUGGUAAGUCGGAUGUGAAAAUCCGAGGCUCAACCUCGGACGUGCAUCCGAUACUGCUCGGCUAGAGGUAGGUAGGGGAGAUCGGAAUUCCUGGUGUAGCGGUGAAAUGCGCAGAUAUCAGGAGGAACACCGGUGGCGAAGGCGGAUCUCUGGGCCUUACCUGACGCUCAGGCGCGAAAGCUAGGGGAGCGAACUGGAUUAGAUACCCCCGUAGUCC
This 292-nucleotide ribosomal RNA is filed under the name uncultured bacterium. RNAcentral describes it as "partial 16S ribosomal RNA". It matches the Rfam family "Bacterial small subunit ribosomal RNA", at positions 505 to 796 of the family's 1533-position model. The record is from RNAcentral.